RNAcentral lists this non-coding RNA (28 nucleotides) under Cricetulus griseus (Chinese hamster). The record is from RNAcentral. Lineage: Eukaryota; Metazoa; Chordata; Mammalia; Rodentia; Cricetidae.
GUUAUUGUAAAAAAAGGAGAGAAGGACA